AUGGAAGCUGGCUGACUAGACAGACCCCUUCCCAGCUGAACGAGGGGAGGUCUGAGACGUUGCAGCAUCUUGGUGGACUUCACCCCCUUGCCCCAGAACACGGCCAGAACAUUUUGACGCAGUUGAGAGGGAAGUGCUGGGCUAUGGCUGGCAACUGGGGAGAGUAGGUUUUCCAAGAAGACAAAACAUUUCUUUUCUUGCUCUUGGGGCCGAGUGAAGUAAAUUAACCACCUCUGAUUCAUUCGGGCCUCCCAGGUGCUGAGGAAUGUGGAGAGGGCGUGGUGGCUGAACAACACUGGCUCCGCAGGACAGCCCAGUGGCCCAAGGAUUGAGGUCUGCACAGCUUGGAACUCCGUCCCGGCCUUUUUGGUAAACACUGGAUGCAUUUCUCAACACCAGGAUGACCAGCAGAGGAGGAAAACACCUGGGAGGAAAGUGGCCGUCCAGGAAAGGACCGAAAGCGUCUAUGCAUAAGUGCUGCAUGCUCAGAGAUGAGCUGGAAUGCUUGACCAUGAGUGGGGUACAGGCUCAUCUUUUCACCCACAUGAAUUUUUUUAUUGGACAGUGUUUACCUUUGUCCCCAUCCAAGGACAGGUUUAAACCUGGCACGCAGGUAGUUGUACUCUGGCGAUGAGAGCCAACUUUUUUAGCCGUGCUUGGGGACAAGCUUCAGCUGUGGCAGCCCUGGGAGAGAGGGAGGAUGGUGUGUGCCAUCCUUUCCAUCUCUUCAUUUGAGCAACCUUCCCUGUAGGAUCACAGCAGACACAGGGGCAUCUGUCAGAAGGUGACCGAGUGCUGAAAUAAGCUCUGGGUGAGUGUGGAGGAGGGUGGCCUCAGUUUACAUUCUCUCAUGCCUCAGUUUCCCUCUCUGAAGUGGAGACACAAUGAUGGCCACAUCCCACAGUGCUGUGACAGGGAUGCCCACGCAGGGCUCUUGGUCUUUUGCUCUCCCUUCCGAAGGUGGCAGUGAAGCGGGGAGGCAAGAAGAGGCUCCUCAAGCCAUCUGCAGUUGGAGCGAGCAGGCUCAGGCCAGGCUAACCUGGGCCUGCGGACUUAGCAGCCUGUUCUUGACCCACUGCAAGGGCUCAGUGUCCUGGCCCCACCUCCCUGUGCUGUAGGGAAGACCAGGGCCACUGCUGGCAGUUGAUGCCCGGUAGGCCUUGAAACAUUGUGAUCUUCUUGCCGCCUACCUCCAGUGCCAGUGCCCUGCCCGUAUCAAGGUUAUUUCCAGCUUCAAAAUGUGUGCGUGUGUGUGUGCUUUUGUAUAUGGAUAUGUUCACAUGUGUGCACAUGUGUGCCUGUGUGCACGUGUUCCUGUGCACCUGUGUAUCUGUGUGUUUGUGGUGGGGGGUGUUCUUAAUAAGAUGCUCGUGUUGGUGCAGCGCCACAACCACUCAUCACAAAAAGGACAUCUAGCGUGGGCUCCUUUAAGGCCCAUCUAUUUAGGGAAAAUGGUUACUUUUAAAUUGUUCUUUGCACUUCUAAGAGGCAAGUAUAAGAGGAGGUGUUGAGGCCAGGCAAUCAAGAAAGCUGCAGGGUGAACUGGAAGCAAAUGCGGGGAGGCUCGUGGGACAGAUCAGUGAGGCUGGGGACAGAGGCAUCCUCUGAACAUUGGGAACUUCAGGCAAAGCCCCUGCACAGCAGGCUGCUCCCCAAGGAAUGUGCCGUCCAGGCACUGUGAUGGAGGGACUCCCUGGCCAGGCAGGCAGCUGUCAGGGUCUGCGUCUCAUCACCUGGGGCUUUGCCAGCCUGCUCCAGGCCUGUGUGGCAACCUGGGGUUUGUGUGAAUGGUGUCCUCUUUCAGAAGGACUUCGCACCCACCUUCUCCCUUGGAGGAAAAAAGAGUAGAGAGGCAAAGACAGGAGGGCCAGUGAGGGCUGUGAGAGUUGCAUGCUCUUUGAAUGUGGACAGUUUCCAAGCCCAGGUCAGAUGCAAGCCCUCCUGAUGGGGUUCUGGGAAAUUACUGCCCUGCUCCUGCUCCCAGCAGUAGGCUGCACCUGUCCCUAUGUUGUCCACAGCAAGAGGAGCCCAUGCAAAACAGAAAUGGCCACCGGGACAGCUUAUGUGGCACCAUGUUCAUCAUGGGUACCCAGUCCUGCUGAUCAAGGCACCAGCGGUGUCCACAAACAACGCCCUUCUCCCCUACUGCUCCACCACCACAGAAACAAAACAAAUGACACAGGAGGACAGGACCAGGUCCACGUCAGCACCGCAGUGACUGAGCCGGCAGCCCGAGUGGGAGUGGCCAUGGUCAGAGUGGUCACUGUGUGGCUGUUUCCAUUACCAGGGCGGUCCAGACACACCGUGCCAUUAAACAAGGACCAAAUCCAGGGAUUCUGCACCAGAGGGCUAAUUAUAGAGCAAGUCCCUGUGACCUGGGCAGGCUGAACUGAAAGGGCCCACACAGCAGGGGGACAGGUCAGGGCCUGGGUUCCCUGUGACCUUCGCCACAAGAACCCACUCCAAAGGACUCUUCCACACAAGUGCCCGCUUGACAGGAGCUGCGGGUGUCUGCUGGGGUCUAGAGUUCCUAGGGCAUUUCAUCUUGGUGUCAGUUUUAUAUCUGAUAGCUAUAGCUUCUAGUUUUCCAGUUUAGCACUCUGGGGUGUGUGCAUUUAUGUGCAGAGAGAGAGGGAGAGAGAGAGAGAGAGAGAGGGAGGGAGGGAGAGAGAGAGAAAUCAUUAUUUUCUUCUUUAUAUGCUUGCCUUUAUUUUCUUAAUUUGUUAUCAUAACCAUAUGCAAGGCAGCCAGUUUAUGGAGUAAUCUGAUAUAUUUUGAUUUUUUAAAAAAUAAAGCAUUUUAAAGAAUGUGUGCUAAUUUACUAAGAUUAUUUGGGGGAAAAUAUUAAAAAAACACAUUUACUCACAAUUUAUCUCCUUAGUACUUCAAUAAUAAAACGUGGACUUUAAGAAGAGCUCAACUACAUGUAGGUAAUAUUUAAUGAAUACCUAUAAGUGUAGAACAACAUUAAUUAACUCAUUUAUUGCUCACAAUAAUCCCUGGAAGGAAAGAAACUUUUAUUCUCAUUUUAUUAUUAUUUUUUUAUUCCCACUUUAGAGGUUAUGACAUUAUUAGAAGCUUGUUGGCCAAGGUGGAGCAGAGAUGAUGGAUUUCCCACAGAAGUUUAAUGGAGGCUCUGUAGAAGUCUCUCUGCUUCACUACACAGAACUAAGGUUUGCUAACACCACAUGGUAGCUGGGUGUGUGUGUGUGUGUGUGUGUGUGUGUGUGUGUGUGUGCAUGACAGAGAGAAGAGCUAAUUACUCAAAAUAAUUCUUUCCCACACAUCGGAUUGGUUCUGUCUCUCUGGUGAACUCUAGUACAAUGGUAUAUAACUCUCUUUUUUGUAAAACUUGAAUCUGACCCCCUAAAAUUGAGUGGCUAAUGCCUGCCUCUGUCCUGAGCCUCAAGAAAGAAUUUUCCAGCAUGCAGUGGGAGAGGAGGAAGUCAGUAGAGCUCAGGAGACCACCUUUCCUAGUUGGCUGCUCUGAGACUCGUAAAUGGAUCAACAUCUGAGGGGAAAGAGAUGAGACAGCAGCACAGGAGUGUGACCUGAAGAAGGUAAAGAGUCGGGGGGGCCCUGGUUUUGGUAAAAGUUGUAUGAGUUGGGAGGUUUUUUUUUUAAAGGUCAGGAACUGUGCUAGUUAGUAGGAUUUUUUGUUGGUUCCUCUGCUUAAUUUUGUUGCUCUAGUACAUGGUUCUCUGGAUAUGCCGCUGACAGCCUGGCCCAGGGUCUCUGAGCUGGCUAGGUGCGACCUUCUCCUCCUUUGAGCACACAGUCCAUACGCCGCUUCCACUCCAGCCCUGUGGCUGCUUUCUAUGCUUUGUCCUUUUAAAUUCUUCCUUCAGUUCCUCUCUGGAAAUUUUAUUUAAAAUGCUGUAGCUCUUCCCACUGUCAGAUCUAACACUAUCAGAAAUAUUGCAAUUAUUCAGCAAUAAAAGAUAAAUGUAUUAAAGGAGAACAAUACUUUUAUAGCUCUAGGAGUCUCUCAACAUUCUGCGAACUGGGACCUUCAAUUUCCAUACAAGUCACCAAAAGAACUUGUAUAACCUUGCAGGGGAUCUGUCCUGAGUACCCAGUGUUCCUCAAGGGCGCCCCAAGGAAAGCGCAGAUCCACCAUGGGCAUUGUGCUGCCUACCCUGUGCCUUCUCCAUCAGCCUCUUACUCAGUUUGGAUACCUCAAUAAAAUGCAAAUCAGCGGCAAAGUGAAAUUCUCAGUGUUGCCCAAAGUGGAGGACUGCAGUGACUGCUGAACACAGCGCCGAAGAACUCAACUCUAUUGCAGUGAAAGGACAUCAGCUACAAUGAACACAACAGAAAACAACAGAGGUGACAGAAAUCUGCCAGGAUGAGGAAGUCAUCAGGAUGUCAGAAUAGCGUGAUUCGAAUCUCACAGGAUUCAGACACACUCAGGAAACUGAUAAGCCCCGGGGCCUCCACAAGGACAGCAAGAGCAUUCUGUUAUCUAAGUGUGCCAUGCUUUAUCUGCUCUUUUGAUGGACAUUUGGGCUGUCUGCAGUUUGGGGCAAUUACGAAGGAAGUUGUGAAGACCCGUCCUGGUCAGAUCAUAUGCUUUCAUUUUUCCUGGGAAGUGGAAUACCUUCUUUUCAACCUGUAAAGAGAAGUAACACAGUCCAUGUGGACUGUGUGCCCCAGGACAGUGCACCCCAGGCUGGCGAGCCCUGUGCUGCUCUUCUCUGGAGGGGAGGCACAUCUUGCUCUUCAGAAGAAGUAUUGGCCUGAGACUGACGGGAAAUUGAAAGACAGCUGGCUCCACACCACUGGUAGUUUGAGAGGCACAGGCUAGGGGCAGAAGCGGACAAGCCCAGGCCACUGGAAGGCCCAACUCACCCAUGAGGAUUUGCCAUCAAAAUUAAUUCCUGAUUUAAAUAUUUUCAUACUUAAUAUCAUGAUAAA
Molecule: long non-coding RNA, 4917 nt
Organism: Chinchilla lanigera (long-tailed chinchilla)
Lineage: Eukaryota; Metazoa; Chordata; Mammalia; Rodentia; Chinchillidae
Exons: 5
Source: RefSeq, a predicted model, not a curated record